AUGGACCGGCGGCCGGAGCUGCGGCGCGCCAUGACGCUCAAGGAGCAGCUCUCCACGCCCGCCGAACCGGCCAUCCGCGACUUCCUCAGGAUCCCGGACGACGACGACGACGACAGCGCAGAAGACAGGCCGUGCACGCUCAUGGACGCCAUCGACCGGGACGUUCGAGGCGAGGGCGGCUCUGGCGGUGCGAUCAACUGGAGGCCGCUGCCCCACCGGCUCUGGGUCCGUCGCGCCGCGGGCGCGUGGCACGCGACAGGGUCGACGGCCAAGCCUCCCCGCGCCGUGGCGAGCAGAGCCUCCCCGAGAAGCAGCUACAAGUACCACCCGUCCCCCGGCGAGGGAUCGGUGGCCGUGGCCUUCACCCGCGCCCCGUCCCCGCGCGCCGUGGUCGACGACGACGAGGAGAACGACGUAGAAGAGGAGGACGGACACAACGACGAGCCUCCGCCGGUGGCGGCGGCGUCGACGUCACUGAUGGCGCUGCUGGAGCAGACGGACAUCCACUUGGAAGCUGACGAGGACGGCGGCGUGACCCAGUGCGGCAUGGUCGAUGUCAACGACGAGGACGGCCACGGUGACCGGCACGAAGAGGAAGAAGAGGAGGAGGCGCAGGUGUGCUGCGUGUGCAUGGUGCGGCACAAGGGCGCGGCCUUCAUCCCGUGCGGCCACACCUUCUGCCGCCUCUGCUCCCGCGAGCUCCGGCACGCCCGCGGCAACUGCCCGCUCUGCAACGUCUUCAUCCAGGACAUCCUCCAAAUCUUCUGA
Molecule: ribosomal RNA, 768 nt
Filed under: Triticum aestivum (bread wheat)
Lineage: Eukaryota; Viridiplantae; Streptophyta; Magnoliopsida; Poales; Poaceae
Description: partial small subunit ribosomal RNA
Source: RNAcentral